RNAcentral lists this ribosomal RNA (497 nucleotides) under uncultured bacterium. RNAcentral's name for it is "partial 16S ribosomal RNA". It matches the Rfam family "Bacterial small subunit ribosomal RNA", at positions 28 to 507 of the family's 1533-position model. The record is from RNAcentral.
GACGAACGCUGGCGGCGUGCCUAAUACAUGCAAGUUGAGCGCUGAAGGUUGGUACUUGUACCAACUGGAUGAGCAGCGGACGGGUGAGUAACGCGUGGGGAAUCUGCCUUUGAGCGGGGGACAACAUUUGGAAACGAAUGCUAAUACCGCAUAAAAACUUUAAACACAAGUUUUAAGUUUGAAAGAUGCAAUUGCAUCACUCAAAGAUGAUCCCGCGUUGUAUUAGCUAGUUGGUGAGGUAAAGGCUCACCAAGGCGAUGAUACAUAGCCGACCUGAGAGGGGGAUCGGCCACAAUGGGACUGAGACACGGCCCAAAAUCCUACGGGGGGCAGCAGUAGGGAAUCUUCGGCAAUGGACGAAAGUCUGACCGAGCAACGCCGCGUGAGUGAAGAAGGUUUUCGGAUCGUAAAACUCUGUUGGUAGGGAAGAACGUUGGUGAGAGUGGAAAGCGCAUCAAGUGACGGUAACUACCCAGAAAGGGACGGCUAACUACGUG